AGGGAAAGACUCCCAGAACUUUCAGCAUGUCUCCUCUCGCCUUUACACCACCAAAGAGAUAUGGGAACACGUCCAUGUAGCUGCGGAGACACUCGAGGGGCUGUUUGGGAUUGAUGCCAAGGAGCAUCAUGGAAAGGACCACUGCUGGUUGUGGUGACCACCAACCAGCUGCACAUCGCUUGUGACCUCAUCAGGCUGGGCGUCGAUGCGAACACAGCCAACGACUGAGGCUGUUCCACCGUUCACCUGGCCGUGACGUACAGCUUUGUGGAGGUCAUUCAGUGAUGGACCUCAGCCGACACUCAUGCCUCCCCGAGCCUUUGGAGAGAGACCGUCUCCUCAAAAUGGCAUUCCUUCUGCAUCAUUGGCUCCGUAGGACAUCGUCUGAUUUGUCUUUCCCAGUUGCUUGAUGGAACAUUCCGGCUCAAGCCUUUUCCUUAAGCAGGUUUGCCUCAGGCCCCAUUAUCUUACCAUGAUCCAUCAUGCCGACCCUGCUUUCCACCCUAAUGGAUCAUCUCUAUGCUUCAUUCGCUGCCAGAAAUGGUGGUGGUUUGGCCUCCCUGUUCAGCUUGUCCAUCUUUUUGCACGUCUGUGUAAAUCCUUCAGUGGCAUGCUAAUUGGAACACCACUUCACCUUUGCAUUAAAUCACUCAAGUUUCCCAUGUAAUGUGCGCCUCCCAUGCUUUGGGCUCGGGGAUAGGGGGGUCACUGGGCCAUCACUGUUGACAGCCAAGAACUUGUUCCAGGUGCUGGAGAUCCAUCAGCAGCACUGCAGGCAUGAGCCUUUUGGCUGCCUCCUGACUGCUGCUGGGCCUGGGAUACUCUGCUUCCCCUUUUGGUGACAAAAUCAGAUAUGUGACACAGUAAUUAGCUAGGAUAGUAGUUAAAGUGAUAGUUAAGGAUAUUAACUUCCAUGGAUGACCCGAAGGUUGCCAGGUCAAGUGUCAGAAACAAUCCUACAACAAUGUCCUUGAGCAAAACCACUUAACCCCAAUUGCUCCGGUUAUACAUCAAUGUGUGUAAAUUGUAGUUUACUAAUGUAAUAAUAAUACUACCUUGUCUAAGCUUUGGCAAAGGUUUAUUUUAUGGGGCUAGAUAUUGUAGAUA
Long non-coding RNA from Paramormyrops kingsleyae, 1107 nucleotides. RefSeq lists it as uncharacterized. NCBI's taxonomy places the organism in Eukaryota, Metazoa, Chordata, Actinopteri, Osteoglossiformes, Mormyridae. The record is from RefSeq and is a predicted model, not a curated record.